UACGAAGGGGACUAGCGUUGUUCGGAAUCACUGGGCGUAAAGCGCACGUAGGCGGAUUUGUAAGUCAGGGGUGAAAUCCCGGGGCUCAACCUCGGAACUGCCUUUGAUACUGCGAAUCUUGAGUCCGAUAGAGGUGGGUGGAAUUCCUAGUGUAGAGGUGAAAUUCGUAGAUAUUAGGAAGAACGCCGGUGGCGAAGGCGGCCCACUGGAUCGGUACUGACGCUGAGGUGCGAAAGCGUGGGGAGCAAACAGG
RNAcentral lists this ribosomal RNA (253 nucleotides) under uncultured bacterium. RNAcentral's name for it is "partial 16S ribosomal RNA". It matches the Rfam family "Bacterial small subunit ribosomal RNA", at positions 524 to 776 of the family's 1533-position model. The record is from RNAcentral.